Chlorella variabilis is the source of this 72-nucleotide transfer RNA. It matches the Rfam family "tRNA". From Rfam's summary of the family: Transfer RNA (tRNA) molecules are approximately 80 nucleotides in length. Lineage: Eukaryota; Viridiplantae; Chlorophyta; Trebouxiophyceae; Chlorellales; Chlorellaceae. The record is from Rfam.
GGGACUUUGGUCUAGUGGUAUGAUUCUCGCUUAGGGUGCGAGAGGUCGGCGGUUCAAUUCCGCCAAGUCCCC